This 120-nucleotide ribosomal RNA is filed under the name uncultured bacterium. RNAcentral's name for it is "partial 16S ribosomal RNA". It matches the Rfam family "Bacterial small subunit ribosomal RNA", at positions 796 to 914 of the family's 1533-position model. The record is from RNAcentral.
CUAGCUGUAAACGAUGUAGACUUGGCGUUGGGGGAGUAAAAUCCUUCAGUGCCGCAGCAAACGCGAUAAGUCUACCGCCUGGGGACUACGGCCGCAAGGUUAAAACUCAAAGGAAUUGAC